GAUGAACGCUGGUGGCGUGCCUAAUACAUGCAAGUCGAGCGAACGGACGAGAAGCUUGCUUCUCUGAUGUUAGCGGCGGACGGGUGAGUAACACGUGGAUAACCUACCUAUAAGACUGGGAUAACUUCGGGAAACCGUAGCUAAUACCGGAUAAUAUUUUGAACCGCAUGGUUCAAAAGUUAAAGACGGUCUUGCUGUCACUUAUAGAUGGAUCCGCGCUGCAUUAGCUAGUUGGUAAGGUAACGGCUUACCAAGGCAACGAUGCAUAGCCGACCUGAGAGGGUGAUCGGCCACACUGGAACUGAGACACGGUCCAGACUACUACGGGAGGCAGCAGUAGGGAAUCUUCCGCAAUGGGCGAAAGCCUGACGGAGCAACGACGCGUGAGUGAUGAAGGUCUUCGGAUCGUAAAACUCUGUUAUUAGGGAAGAACAUAUGUGUAAGUAACUGUGCACAUCUUGACGGUACCUAAUCAGAAAGCCACGGCUAACUACGUG
This 497-nucleotide ribosomal RNA is filed under the name uncultured bacterium. RNAcentral's name for it is "partial 16S ribosomal RNA". It matches the Rfam family "Bacterial small subunit ribosomal RNA", at positions 28 to 507 of the family's 1533-position model. The record is from RNAcentral.